RNAcentral lists this ribosomal RNA (241 nucleotides) under uncultured Lactobacillus sp. RNAcentral describes it as "partial 16S ribosomal RNA". It matches the Rfam family "Bacterial small subunit ribosomal RNA", at positions 122 to 354 of the family's 1533-position model. Lineage: Bacteria; Bacillati; Bacillota; Bacilli; Lactobacillales; Lactobacillaceae. The record is from RNAcentral.
UAACCUGCCCAAGAGAUCGGGAUAACACCUGGAAACAGAUGCUAAUACCGGAUAACAACAGAUGAUGCCUAUCAACUGUUUAAAAGAUGGUUCUGCUAUCACUCUUGGAUGGACCUGCGGUGCAUUAGCUAGUUGGUAGGGUAACGGCCUACCAAGGCGAUGAUGCAUAGCCGAGUUGAGAGACUGAUCGGCCACAUUGGGACUGAGACACGGCCCAAACUCCUACCGGGAGGCAGCAGGC